Non-coding RNA from Gossypium raimondii (Peruvian cotton), 119 nucleotides. The record is from Rfam. NCBI's taxonomy places the organism in Eukaryota, Viridiplantae, Streptophyta, Magnoliopsida, Malvales, Malvaceae.
GGGUGUGAUCAUACCAGCUCUAAUGCACCGGAUCCCAUCAAAACGCCGCAGUUAAGCGCGCUUGGGCAAGAGUAAUACUAGGAUGGGCGACCUCUUGGGAAGUCCUCGUGUUGCACACC